AUAGGCGCUAUUUUAUUAGUAAAAGUGUCUGUUCUUAUGAGCUUAAUAUCUGAUACUUCCUGCAUCGCAGGGUCAGAAUAUUAAACUGGGUUUUGGAAAAUGGUGGAGUGCUAGGGGCUUGUUCCAAGUCGGUCAUGGGUUGGCCCUGUAUUGCAGUACCUCCGGGUAUUAAGUUUGUACAC
This 182-nucleotide small nuclear RNA is filed under the name Zootermopsis nevadensis. RNAcentral describes it as "U2 spliceosomal RNA". It matches the Rfam family "U2 spliceosomal RNA". Rfam says of the family: U2 is a small nuclear RNA (snRNA) component of the spliceosome (involved in pre-mRNA splicing). Complementary binding between U2 snRNA (in an area lying towards the 5' end but 3' to hairpin I) and the branchpoint sequence (BPS) of the intron results the bulging out of an unpaired adenosine, on the BPS, which initiates a nucleophilic attack at the intronic 5' splice site, thus starting the first of two transesterification reactions that mediate splicing. Lineage: Eukaryota; Metazoa; Arthropoda; Insecta; Blattodea; Termopsidae. The record is from Rfam by way of RNAcentral.